Molecule: long non-coding RNA, 245 nt
Filed under: Malus domestica (apple)
Lineage: Eukaryota; Viridiplantae; Streptophyta; Magnoliopsida; Rosales; Rosaceae
Description: long non-coding RNA (MDOM_LNC004736)
Source: RNAcentral
CUCAUCCUUGAUGCACCUCACUUGGUUUAGGUCCCUUGUCUUCUUUUCCCUUGCUCUAGAUAGUUUAUAGAUAUCCAACUCUCCUUCUUUGGUAUCUAGUCGUUUAUACAUAUCGUCGUAAGCCGCUAACUUAGCUUCUCUCACAGCUUUCUUCGCCUCUUGCUUCGCUUUUCUAUACCUUUCACCAUUUUCAUCGGUCCUCUCCUUGUAUAAGGCUUUACAACAUUCCUUCUUAGCCUUCACCU